Molecule: ribosomal RNA, 2904 nt
Filed under: Escherichia coli P0299438.2
Lineage: Bacteria; Pseudomonadati; Pseudomonadota; Gammaproteobacteria; Enterobacterales; Enterobacteriaceae
Description: bacterial LSU rRNA
Rfam family: Bacterial large subunit ribosomal RNA
Source: RNAcentral
UUAAGCGACUAAGCGUACACGGUGGAUGCCCUGGCAGUCAGAGGCGAUGAAGGACGUGCUAAUCUGCGAUAAGCGUCGGUAAGGUGAUAUGAACCGUUAUAACCGGCGAUUUCCGAAUGGGGAAACCCAGUGUGUUUCGACACACUAUCAUUAACUGAAUCCAUAGGUUAAUGAGGCGAACCGGGGGAACUGAAACAUCUAAGUACCCCGAGGAAAAGAAAUCAACCGAGAUUCCCCCAGUAGCGGCGAGCGAACGGGGAGCAGCCCAGAGCCUGAAUCAGUGUGUGUGUUAGUGGAAGCGUCUGGAAAGGCGCGCGAUACAGGGUGACAGCCCCGUACACAAAAAUGCACAUGCUGUGAGCUCGAUGAGUAGGGCGGGACACGUGGUAUCCUGUCUGAAUAUGGGGGGACCAUCCUCCAAGGCUAAAUACUCCUGACUGACCGAUAGUGAACCAGUACCGUGAGGGAAAGGCGAAAAGAACCCCGGCGAGGGGAGUGAAAAAGAACCUGAAACCGUGUACGUACAAGCAGUGGGAGCACGCUUAGGCGUGUGACUGCGUACCUUUUGUAUAAUGGGUCAGCGACUUAUAUUCUGUAGCAAGGUUAACCGAAUAGGGGGGCCGAAGGGAAACCGAGUCUUAACUGGGCGUUAAGUUGCAGGGUAUAGACCCGAAACCCGGUGAUCUAGCCAUGGGCAGGUUGAAGGUUGGGUAACACUAACUGGAGGACCGAACCGACUAAUGUUGAAAAAUUAGCGGAUGACUUGUGGCUGGGGGUGAAAGGCCAAUCAAACCGGGAGAUAGCUGGUUCUCCCCGAAAGCUAUUUAGGUAGCGCCUCGUGAAUUCAUCUCCGGGGGUAGAGCACUGUUUCGGCAAGGGGGUCAUCCCGACUUACCAACCCGAUGCAAACUGCGAAUACCGGAGAAUGUUAUCACGGGAGACACACGGCGGGUGCUAACGUCCGUCGUGAAGAGGGAAACAACCCAGACCGCCAGCUAAGGUCCCAAAGUCAUGGUUAAGUGGGAAACGAUGUGGGAAGGCCCAGACAGCCAGGAUGUUGGCUUAGAAGCAGCCAUCAUUUAAAGAAAGCGUAAUAGCUCACUGGUCGAGUCGGCCUGCGCGGAAGAUGUAACGGGGCUAAACCAUGCACCGAAGCUGCGGCAGCGACGCUUAUGCGUUGUUGGGUAGGGGAGCGUUCUGUAAGCCUGCGAAGGUGUGCUGUGAGGCAUGCUGGAGGUAUCAGAAGUGCGAAUGCUGACAUAAGUAACGAUAAAGCGGGUGAAAAGCCCGCUCGCCGGAAGACCAAGGGUUCCUGUCCAACGUUAAUCGGGGCAGGGUGAGUCGACCCCUAAGGCGAGGCCGAAAGGCGUAGUCGAUGGGAAACAGGUUAAUAUUCCUGUACUUGGUGUUACUGCGAAGGGGGGACGGAGAAGGCUAUGUUGGCCGGGCGACGGUUGUCCCGGUUUAAGCGUGUAGGCUGGUUUUCCAGGCAAAUCCGGAAAAUCAAGGCUGAGGCGUGAUGACGAGGCACUACGGUGCUGAAGCAACAAAUGCCCUGCUUCCAGGAAAAGCCUCUAAGCAUCAGGUAACAUCAAAUCGUACCCCAAACCGACACAGGUGGUCAGGUAGAGAAUACCAAGGCGCUUGAGAGAACUCGGGUGAAGGAACUAGGCAAAAUGGUGCCGUAACUUCGGGAGAAGGCACGCUGAUAUGUAGGUGAAGUCCCUCGCGGAUGGAGCUGAAAUCAGUCGAAGAUACCAGCUGGCUGCAACUGUUUAUUAAAAACACAGCACUGUGCAAACACGAAAGUGGACGUAUACGGUGUGACGCCUGCCCGGUGCCGGAAGGUUAAUUGAUGGGGUUAGCCGCAAGGCGAAGCUCUUGAUCGAAGCCCCGGUAAACGGCGGCCGUAACUAUAACGGUCCUAAGGUAGCGAAAUUCCUUGUCGGGUAAGUUCCGACCUGCACGAAUGGCGUAAUGAUGGCCAGGCUGUCUCCACCCGAGACUCAGUGAAAUUGAACUCGCUGUGAAGAUGCAGUGUACCCGCGGCAAGACGGAAAGACCCCGUGAACCUUUACUAUAGCUUGACACUGAACAUUGAGCCUUGAUGUGUAGGAUAGGUGGGAGGCUUGGAAGUGUGGACGCCAGUCUGCAUGGAGCCGACCUUGAAAUACCACCCUUUAAUGUUUGAUGUUCUAACGUUGACCCGUAAUCCGGGUUGCGGACAGUGUCUGGUGGGUAGUUUGACUGGGGCGGUCUCCUCCUAAAGAGUAACGGAGGAGCACGAAGGUUGGCUAAUCCUGGUCGGACAUCAGGAGGUUAGUGCAAUGGCAUAAGCCAGCUUGACUGCGAGCGUGACGGCGCGAGCAGGUGCGAAAGCAGGUCAUAGUGAUCCGGUGGUUCUGAAUGGAAGGGCCAUCGCUCAACGGAUAAAAGGUACUCCGGGGAUAACAGGCUGAUACCGCCCAAGAGUUCAUAUCGACGGCGGUGUUUGGCACCUCGAUGUCGGCUCAUCACAUCCUGGGGCUGAAGUAGGUCCCAAGGGUAUGGCUGUUCGCCAUUUAAAGUGGUACGCGAGCUGGGUUUAGAACGUCGUGAGACAGUUCGGUCCCUAUCUGCCGUGGGCGCUGGAGAACUGAGGGGGGCUGCUCCUAGUACGAGAGGACCGGAGUGGACGCAUCACUGGUGUUCGGGUUGUCAUGCCAAUGGCACUGCCCGGUAGCUAAAUGCGGAAGAGAUAAGUGCUGAAAGCAUCUAAGCACGAAACUUGCCCCGAGAUGAGUUCUCCCUGACUCCUUGAGAGUCCUGAAGGAACGUUGAAGACGACGACGUUGAUAGGCCGGGUGUGUAAGCGCAGCGAUGCGUUGAGCUAACCGGUACUAAUGAACCGUGAGGCUUAACCUU